GGGAGCCGGAUGCACAGAAAUGGGCACGUCCGGAUCUAACUGAGAGGUGCGCAGAAUAAUAUCCGCCAUCGACUCAAC
This is a non-coding RNA of Scytonema tolypothrichoides VB-61278, 78 nucleotides long. The record is from Rfam. NCBI's taxonomy places the organism in Bacteria, Bacillati, Cyanobacteriota, Cyanophyceae, Nostocales, Scytonemataceae.